Molecule: ribosomal RNA, 826 nt
Filed under: Neurospora africana
Lineage: Eukaryota; Fungi; Ascomycota; Sordariomycetes; Sordariales; Sordariaceae
Description: eukaryotic LSU rRNA
Rfam family: Eukaryotic large subunit ribosomal RNA
Source: RNAcentral
UUGCCCUAGUAACGGCGAGUGAAGCGGCAACAGCUCAAAUUUGAAAUCUGCCUUCGGGCCGAGUUGUAAUUUGUAGAGGAAGCUUUUGGUGAGGCACCUUCUGAGUCCCCUGGAACGGGGCGCCAUAGAGGGUGAGAGCCCCGUAUAGUCGGAUGCCGAUCCAAUGUAAAGCUCCUUCGACGAGUCGAGUAGUUUGGGAAUGCUGCUCAAAAUGGGAGGUAAAUUUCUUCUAAAGCUAAAUACCGGCCAGAGACCGAUAGCGCACAAGUAGAGUGAUCGAAAGAUGAAAAGCACCUUGAAAAGGGGGUUAAAUAGCACGUGAAAUUGUUGAAAGGGAAGCGUUUGCGGCCAGACUUGCGCCGCCCCGAUCAUCCGGUGUUCUCACCGGUGCACUCGGGGCGGCGCAGGCCAGCAUCGGUUUCGGCGGGGGGAUAAAGGUCCAGGGAACGUAGCUCCUUCGGGAGUGUUACAGCCCUGGGCGUAAUGCCCUCGCCGGGACCGAGGUUCGCGCAUCUGCAAGGAUGCUGGCGUAAUGGCCGCCAACGACCCGUCUUGAAACACGGACCAAGGAGUCAAGGUUUUGCGCGAGUGUUUGGGUGUAAAACCCGCACGCGUAAUGAAAGUGAACGUAGGUGAGAGCUUCGGCGCAUCAUCGACCGAUCCUGAUGUAUUCGGAUGGAUUUGAGUAAGAGCGUUAAGCCUUGGACCCGAAAGAUGGUGAACUAUGCUUGGAUAGGGUGAAGCCAGAGGAAACUCUGGUGGAGGCUCGCAGCGGUUCUGACGUGCAAAUCGAUCGUCAAAUCUGAGCAUGGGGGCGAAAGACUAA